UCUUAGUUUCAGAGAGUUUUUCUUGCGAAGAAAAAACCCGGAUCAAACGCAAUUUUUCUCUUACAAUCAAAACCCAUAGAUCUCUUUCUCCUUACUGACCAAAUCAAAACUUUUCAUUCAGUAAACCCAGAAAUCUCGAUCUAUGCUCUAAAAAUCUUAAAAAUUCCUAAACCUAGAAAAUAAUUUUGUUCCUGAAAUCCAAAAUCAAUUCAUCUAAUAGUUGAUUUCUUUGUUGAUUAUCAUCAGGGUCAAGUCGGAGGAAAAGGGAGAAGAUCUAACAGACAUCUUUUUUUGGUAUAUUGACCAAGGAAGAUUUCUUAAUUCACUGGUGAAUCCUACAUAUUUCUUUUUCUGGUGUUUCUCGGCUGUAGGAAGAUUAGAUAGACAAUGCAUCUUUCUACUUUCUUUAUUAGUUUCUGCAGUUUUGUAUGUUUAAUGGAGUUCAUUUAUAAUUCGGGAAAUGGUGGGAGAAUUAUGGUCUGUUUAUCCAGAAGCACAGUUGGAGUCGACCACUAAAUUCAGGAAGCUUGUAUCUCUUGUUUGAGGCAGCGUGGGCUUUGACGAAUAUCGCAGCAAGCACAUCAGAGCAUACACGAGUUGUGAUUCAACAUAGUGUUGUUCCAAAGCUUGUGCAACUUCUUAGCUCUGGAAAUGCUGAUGUUCGUGAACAGGCUCUGUGGACUUUGGGGAAUAUCGCUGGUGACUCGCCAGCCUGUAGAGAUUAUGUUCUUUCUCAGGGUGCAAUGGUGCCACUGCUAUCUCAGUUUUGUAAGCACUCAAAAGAAUCUAUAUUGAGGACUGCUACGUAGACUUUAUCCAACUUAUGUCGUGACGAGCCAGCAGUAUCAUUUGAGCAGGUGUUGAUUGACUACCAAGUGCUUUCUUGUUUCCAUCAACUUCUGACUCAAAAUUACAGUAAGAACAUUAAGAGAGAAACAUGUUGGGCCAUCUCAAAUAUCACUGCCGGAAAUGUUGAUCAGAUGUAUAUGGAAAUGUUGAUCAGAUAAUUAAAUUGACAUAUGUAUAUGGAACAGGAUGCUAUUGAAGCUAAUAUCAUUGGACCUGUAUUGCAUCUUCUCCAGCAUGCCGAGUUUGAGACCAAGAAGGAAGCUGCAGUGGUCUUUUAGUUUGUGUUAUCUUUUAGUUUAUUUGACUUUGUGCUAUGAACAACUCUUUUACUUGGUUUCUCAAUUAAGAGUUCUCUUUGUUCUCUUGAAUGCAGACAGCGUUUACCAUCUUUUUUUGCAAUAACCAGCUUCUUGAAUGGAUUGAGAAUGAGUUGAUCUGGGUGCUUGGUUUUGUCCCAGGACUUUCUUCCGUCCUACCUAACCUUAUUAGCAAAUUACAUGCUGCCAAAGAGAAGUGCAUUGCACCCCGAGCUCCUGUGUCAUCAAGCGACGAGGUACAGAAGUGGUGGAAUCUCUCAAUUACAUCAGUCUGGAAUACAGUAGUGUGGCUGAUGCUCUUAAACUUCUUUAUCUAGAUUGUAAAUUCAACUGCACAAUGGUAUGUUAAGAAGCAUCAGGAUUGUGAACGGAGAGGAGCUGCUGACAGUUGCUGGAAAUAAACAGCUGGUGGUGAUAUAAGUGUUGAAUGAAGUUUCUGCGGCGUCGGUCGAUUGCGAUGGAAGAUGGUUGCAACUGCCAAUGGAGUAAAGCAAGAUUGUGAAUGGAAGAGAAUGAGAAAGAAACGGAGCUGUGGUUUCAAACUAGAAAGGCGCUGUUGUUGGAUUGAAGGUUGUCGUUUCUUAUUAGUUGAGCUGUUGUGACAGUGGAAGAAGGCCAUGAGAUGGAGAAUGGAGUCAGAGAAAAAGAUUCAGAAGGAUUGAAAUUGUGAAAGUGGCGUCGUGACCUGAGUCAACAAGAAUCAGUGGGAUAUGGAGUUGUACUGCCGGAGCUGGUGCUCUAGUCGUGAAUCAGAAGACUAAGUGGAAUAGAAAUUGGCAGUCAGUGUAGUUAGCAGUGAUGAGAUUCUGGAGGGCAACAAAUGGACAGGCUGAGUAAUGGUGCUGUGUUCGAGUUGUUUGCAGCAAAGCGAAGAAGAAUCUCAGGCGGACAUAAAUUAGAAGUUGGUUCAUGGUGCAGCAAUGACGAUGGAGAAUGGUUUGUUGUCAGACGGAGUUUAGAAGAUGGACUACUGGCUCGAGUCUAGUUAGCUUUUGGUAACCACGAAGUGGCUGUAGCUUGCAAGUGUUCUGCAUUUAUGGGCGACCAAUUAGAAUUUUUAACCAAUGGAGCCCUUCUUCCUUGGUGUUAUACAUUCUUAUGUACACUUCGCAGUUUGCAUAGGCAUGGGGUUAUUCUUUGGCAGCUUGCAUGCCCUGUCUGUGGGUUAUUCAGUGAAUUAACUAAAGACCAUGAACCUGAAUAUACCAUUUAGGUGCAGAACUCUGAUGGAUUUUUUUAAUUUUACCUGUAAAAAUGUUUGCAACGUAUAUAAGUGUUGCUUACG
Long non-coding RNA from Papaver somniferum (opium poppy), 2451 nucleotides. RefSeq lists it as uncharacterized. Lineage: Eukaryota; Viridiplantae; Streptophyta; Magnoliopsida; Ranunculales; Papaveraceae. The record is from RefSeq and is a predicted model, not a curated record. The transcript is spliced from 6 exons.